This 8191-nucleotide long non-coding RNA is filed under the name Triticum aestivum (bread wheat). RNAcentral describes it as "long non-coding RNA (TAES_LNC012627)". The record is from RNAcentral. Lineage: Eukaryota; Viridiplantae; Streptophyta; Magnoliopsida; Poales; Poaceae.
UUUAUAGUCGAAAGGGGCUGCCACAGUGGCAUACAGGAGGUGGAAAGGUCUACAGUGUUGUGAGCUUAUCGCCCGUAUUACAGGACAAGACGCAUUAAAUGCGUAGCUUAGGUGUCCCUUAGCUUUAUCGAGGGAGGGAACGAGGCCCGUCCUGUCCGUCGCCGCCUCGCCUUGUUUCGACACGCGCCCAGGCUAGCGAUGCAUGCAGCGCCAUGUAGGCAGGCAGAUAGCUAAGGUUGCGCGGUGGUAGGGUCUUCACGAAGAUCUGCAUGCCACCACAUAGGUGCUUGCUGAGUUGGCUCGGAAGCCGCCCGUCGCCACGCGGGUGCCUGCCCAACUGGUUGAGGUAGCAGCUGCUUGGGGAUAGUGGUGGAGUCUUGUCCGACGCGGGCCUGGCUGUUGCCCUGCUGAUGUUCUCGGCAAGGACCUUGCCGGGGGCCUGACAAGGGUCUUGCCGUGGCGUUGCAGUCGUCCCUGGCAAGGGUCUUGCCGGGGGUCUUGUGGCUUUCCUCGGCAAGGAUCUUGCUGAGGGUCGCCGUCUUUUGGUCCUCAUUUGAACUUGUGCAUUCAUGAUCUUGACGAAGAUCUGCAUGCCACCUCAAAGGUGCCUCCCGAGCCCCCUGGGUCCAACAUAGUUGGUUAGGUCGGAACCCGUGGGCUCAAGGGUGGCUCGCCCUGUUGGUGUCGGGCAAGUCGCCCCGGCAAGGCUCUUGCCUGGGCCGCGGAGGUCGCCCCGGCAAGAAUCUUGCCGGGGGAAUCCACCUCGCACCUUUGCUCCUGUGUAUCAGACCUUGGCAUUGUCUUGGUUGUCUUGUACUUCGGCUUCUAUCCGGCUUCCCUCCUUGGUCCUGCUAUGUGUGGCCGCGACGCGUGGCUCUAACUGCCCGUGCACAAGUAAAGGGGUCAAAAGGAGAGCCCCUACUUUUGUACACCGACAGGAGCCCCCGGGCCUGGGCCACACAUAAGGGCGACACGUUGUUGGGCCAGGCCCAGAACGGUGCGCGGGUAGGUGGGGCGGAUUUUGCCGCAGUAAUUCUUCAUCCGCUGCGCUUCCCCACGACCCGCGUUGAACGCGUGUCGUGGAGGAUCAUGUGUGAUGUGGGGGGCAUGCGUGGGGCGGUUCCCAUACGCACGCGUCACAUUGGAGUUAAUGGAAAAGGAGGCGGCCCGCGCCUUCCCCAUAAAAAGGAAUAACCGCGGGUGCACUGCUCACUUUACCCCCCCCCCUUCGCGUCUUCUCCAAUCCCAGAGCCGCCGCUCCCUUUCUUCCUCCUUCUCGAGUUCUCGCCUUCGCUUGCCGCCACUGCGCCUUCUCCAUCCUCCGCCCCUUGCUUCUCGCAGCCGCCAUGGCGCCCAAAUUCACCAAGGGCAAGGGAGUGGCCAAGGACGCCGGAGUGGCAGAGCCGCCAGAGAAUGCAUUGGCGGCGCAGCGGACGCAGCCCGCCUACUUUCCCUCGAAGAUCGACGUGUUCGAGCUCCGGGAGGCCUUCAAACCCCUAUGGGCGGUGAAGACGGGGGGAGAGAUGACGGGGCACCCAGCUAAGUGCGUCAUCCCGGCCAAUUGCACCGAGGCCACCCCAAAUCGGUACCCUUUCUUUGUCGACUACUUCUCUUGCAGGCUCUGUCCCCCCUUCUCUAAUUUCUUCAAUGACGUCAUGCACACCUACAGCUUCCAUCUUUUCGAUUUUACUCCAAAUGCCGUGGCGUGCAAUGCUCUUUUGUGCACCUCUACGAGGGCUUCACCGGGGUGCAUCCCAACACGACGCUCUUCCGCCACUACUUCUCCCCUCGGGUUCAACUGGGGGCGCCAUUUCUGGUUGCGUCACCUGGAUCCCACGGUCCAAGGGGGCAUACCCGGAGGGCGCCAUGAAGGAGAGGUUGGAAGAAUGGCGGGCCCGGUGGUGUUGGAUCGAAGAGAAGGACCCGCCGGAUUUUUUCUGGGUUCACGACGCGCCGCUGGUUCGCUGGGGCGACUAGAGUGACCUUGACACCGAUGAUGCGAAGCUCACGGUCGCCACCACCAGGAUCCUUUGCCUUACCGAGGCCGGGCUCGCCCUUGAGAUGAUCGGGGCAGAUUUCAUCCGCCGCCGAAUCGCUCCGCUGCAUAACAAGGGGAGGCCAGCCUGGCUCUUCACGAACGCCGCCGACAUCAUGAGGCUUCGCCCCGGCCUUGACCACAACUUCACGAUGAUGGGGCACGCCCACUUCUGCCAGCGGAUCUUCCAGCUUGAUGUGAACCGCGAUGGCGAGGUCGAGCAGACCGGCAAGGCCGCGAGGGCUGCCGCGAAGGCCGGCAAGGUCACCACGGGGCCCUUGUUCAAGUUGCCGACAGGAGUGGUCCCGCUGAGCAACAACUCGCGCCAGACCGACAUCAUGGCCAUGAUGCCAGACAUUAAUGCGCAUGGCCUUGACCCGAGCUGGGUCGAGCCAGAGGAAAUUCAAGUGCAGGAGUUCUUCGAUACCUUGCAUGAGGGGUAUGUCACCGCCGAGCCGCGGCUCAUCCAGGACACCACCCAGGUAGAGCUGGACUACAUCACCGCCAGGGCCAUGGAGGUGAAGCUUGCCGAGGAAGCCGGCAGCGCCGGUUGUGUGGAGGACAAGGCCGCGGCGGAGGCGGAGGAGAAGGAACUUGCCCAGUGGGCAGAGGCCGCUAGGGAGGUCAGCAGCGCCGGCACCGGGGCUCCUCUCGUCAAGGGUGCGGUCGGCAAGUCGUCAGAGGAGGAGGCCGAGGCUGUCGACCCUCCGGCCACGGGGAGAGGGCGAGUCCUGCGGCGGGCCACUUCCGGUGAGCCGUUCCGGCCCGCCAAGGCCGCGCGGCGGCCAAAGUCUCCGGAGGAGUCCACACGUCAGACGAGGGCCGCGGUGGCAAAAAAGGUGGUGAAGGCCGCGGUGGCGAAGAAGAGAGCAUCUGCCUCCUCUUCAUCCAAGCGCGCGCAGACUCCGCCCUCCUCCCCUCCUCCGGCAGACAUCGACGCGGAGGUCACCUUUGACUUUGGGUCCCUCAGCCCAAGGAAGAAGAGGAAGGCAACAGAGGAGGAGGUGGAUGACGAGUAAGUAUCUUGCUCCUUUCUGUCAUCUCCGUCUCCUCAAUCUGUGCCGCUUGUCUUGACUUGUUUUCACCUUUGCAGGGAUGCAGAGACGCUGGCCCAGAGGGUGAAGAUGGCCUAGGCCUCGGCGGGCGGCUAGCCCCCAGCGGGUACUUCGAGGGCACCACUAGUGGUGUUGAGUAGCCCAGACAGCAGUCCUCGGCACAGCCCCCAGUGUAAGUUCAUCACUCACCCCUCGUCAACAUGUGUCGGGGGUACGAUCCCUUGGUGGUGACCUUGCCGUGGUCGCAGGAGCAGGACAGCAGCAGGAGGAGCCACAGAGGGCUACCCCCAACAUGCCGCCCCCAUCGACCACGCUGCCCCGAGGGGCAUCUCCGGCAAGGGCGGCAAGCACUGAGCCCACACACAUGGAGGAGGAGGAGGAGAUCUCGGACGCCGGUGGCUUUGCCUCAGCGCCAAAUGUUGGCGGGGAGGGGACCUUUGCUCCCCAGCCCGGCGCUGGUAAGCCGUUCGCCUUUCGUCCCUGCUCUUUUUCUUUCCUUGCUGGCUCUUGGUCUUGGCUUUGUCUCAUCCCCUUCUUGGUAUCCAGAUCGUCUUUCGGCGGACCAGGAGGACAUAGAUGCCGUCAUCGAGGAUGUCUGCAAGGACGCCGCGGCAGAGGCCGAGAAGAUCGCUACCGUGGAGACCGUCAAGGGCGCUGCCGAAGACGCUGCCAUUGGGCCCGCCGGGGAGCCCGGCAAGGGGCCUGUCGGGGAGGCCGGCAAGGCCGCCAUCGAGGAGGAGGUGGUCAAUGACCAGCCUUCCUCCUCUGCUGCCUCCGGCUCCGGCAGGUAUCGGAGGGUGACCGAUGACCUCUUCAUCCACCUCCUAGGGGCGUCCAGCUCUAGGGCGCCCAUCGAGGGAGAGGUGUUCGACAAAGAGGUGCUUGCCGCCGCCGGGCUCGAGGUCGUCGAUGAGCCGAGCGCCGGUGGCGACGGCUCUCAGGAGGAGUGGCUUCUCCAGGCCAUGGGCGCCAAUUUCCGGAAGCUCCAGGCGCUCCACCGCGCCGCCUGGACAAGGCCAAGUCCAGGAUGGCAACAGUGGACAAGGCGGAGGCGGACCUCAAGGUGCGCGUCGCCGAGGCGUAGACUUGGUUCUGCCAAGCUAGUGAAGAGCUGAAGGCCGCCUAGGGCGAGCUGGCCAAGCACGACGUGGAGCUCACCAUGAAGCUGGCCGACAUCAAGAAGGCCUAGGAGACAGCGGAGAGCUUGGCCGCCGCAGUAGAAGCUGCUCGGACCCAGCACCAGCCCGCGCUGAACUCCCAGGAGGAGGAUCUUUCCAAACGCGAGGCGGAUAUUGACGCCAAACUCCGCGCCAAGGACGAGGAGGUGGAGAAACUAUUGGGGAACGUUGCAGAAAAUUAAAUUUUUUCCUACGGUUUCACCAAGAUCCAUCUAUGAGUUCAUCUAAGCAACGAGUCAUGGGAGAGAGAUUGCAUCUACAUACCACUUUGUAGAUCGCGUGCGGAAGCAUUCAAGAGAACGGUGAUGAUGGAGUCAUACUCGCCGUGAUCCAAAUCACCGAUGACCAAGUGCUGAACGGAUAGCACCUCCGCGUUCAACACACGUACGAAGCGGACGACGUCUCCUUCUUCUUGAUCCAGCAAGGGGGAAGGAGAGGUUGAGGAAGAAGGCUCCAGCAGCAGCACGACGGCGUGAUGAUGGUGGAGAGGCAGUACUCCGACAGGGCUUUGCCAAGCACUCAACGGAGGAGGAGAGGUGUUGGGGAGGGGAGGGGCUGCGCCUUGGAUCAGGUGUUCAGCCCUCCCCUCGCCCCUCUAUUUAUAGGGGAAGCGGGAAGGGGGGCCGGCCCCCUCUAGAUGAGAUCUAGAGGGGGGGCAGGGAGGGGGGCUUGCCCCCCAAGCAAGGGGGGCGCCCCCACUAGGGUUCCCCCCCAACCCUAGGCACAUGGGCCUACGGGGGGGGGGGGGGCGCCCAGCCCUCCAAGGGCUGGUUCCCUGCCCCUUGUGGCCCAUGAGGCCCUCCGAGAGGGGUGGCCCCUCCCGGUGAACCCCCGGAACCCCUCCGGUGGCCCCGGUACAAUACCGAUAUGCCCCCGAAACUUUCCGGUGUCCGUAUGAAAACUUCCUAUAUAUAAAUCUUCACCUUCGAACCAUUCCGGAACUCCUCAUGACGUCCGGGAUCUCAUCCGGGACUCCGAACAAUAUUCGGUAAUCACAUACAAGUCUUCCUAAUAACCCUAGCGUCAUCGAACCUUAAGUGUGUAGACCCUACGGGUUCGGGAGACAUGCAGACAUGACCGAGAUGGCUCUUCGGUCAAUAACCAACAGCGGGAUCUGGAUACCCAUGUUGGCUCCCACAUGCUCCUCGAUGAUCUCAUCGGAUGAACCACAAUGUCGAGGAUUCAAUCAACCCCGUAUACAAUUAACUUUGUCAAUCGGUACAUUACAUGCCCGAGACUCGAUCGUCGGUAUCCCAAUACCUCGUUCAGUCUCGUUAUCGGCAAGUCACUUUACUCGUACCGUAAUGCAUGAUCCCGUGACCAAACACUUGGUCACUUUGAGCUCAUUAUGAUGAUGCAUUACCGAGUGGGCCCAGAGAUACCUCUCCGUCAUACGGAGUGACAAAUCCCAGUCUCGAUCCGUGUCAAUCCAACAGACACUUUCGGAGAUGCCUGUAGUGCACCUUUAUAGUCACCCAGUUACGUUGUGACAUUUGGUACACCCAAAGCACUCCUACGGUAUCCGGGAGUUACACGAUCUCAUGGUCUAAGGAAGAGAUACUUGACAUUGGAAAAGCUCUAGCAAAACGAACUACACGAUCUUGUGCUAUGCUUAGGAUUGGGUCUUGUCCAUCACAUCAUUCUCCUAAUGAUGUGAUCCCGUUAUCAACGACAUCUAAUGUCCAUAGUCAAGAAAUCAUGACUAUCUGUUGACUAACGAGCUAGUCAACUAGAGGCUUACUAGGGACGUAUUUGGUCUAAGUAUUCACACAUGUAUUACGAUUUCCGGAUAAUACAAUUAUAGCAUGAAUAAAAGAAAAUUAUCAUGAACAAGGACAUAUAAUAAUAAUCCUUUUAUUAUUGCCUCUAGGGCAUAUUUCCAACAGAAACUUGUCGUGCAGCGGACCCAAGAGCUGGAGCAGAGGCACAGGGAGGCGCUCGAUGCCCAGGCUCUGGUUCACGCCGGCAAGGUGAAGGAGCUGGAGGUAGAGCGGGACAAGCUGAAGGGCCAGGCCCUGGCGCUAUCCCAGGAGAAGGACACGCUCAACGGCGCCCUGACGGAGGCGCAUGGCGCGACUGUCAGCAGGGCCGGGGAGCUCUUCGAGGCCAAUAACUCCAUCAAAGACCUCAAGCUGAAGCUGGAGGGUCUCGAGGGGAUGCUGUCGGAGAGCAAGGCGCGGGAAGAGAUCAUGGCCAAGGAUCUGGAGGCCGAGAAGCUGCAUCGGAAUAACGAAGCCGCCAGCCACAAGGAUUUUGUGGAGGGCGAAAAUCACUGGAUCAGCCGCCUCGAGGACGUCGCCGGCAGGAUCACCACGCAGCCGGCUACCAUGGGGAUGCCAAAUGUGAGGUACGCCCCGGAGCGCAGCGGGACUACCAACGCCAAGUUGACCCUGUUCUUCGAGUGUGUUCUCGGGGCCCUGGAGCAAUUCCACUCCAACAGGGCGGGUUUACUGGCCGGCGAGAACUGAAGGCUCUGCCAGGGUGCCAUGACCAAGGUCCUCACCAAGGUGGUGUACUGGAACCCCACCCUUGACUUCGACGCCGCACUGGAGAGCUUGCCGGAGGGUACUAACCUCGCGCCGCUCAAGGAGCGUAUCGAGCCCAUCAUCAGCCUGAUCAACGGAAUUCAAAGGGUGGAGGGCCAGCGCCGGGAUUAGGCACCUCUUUUCUUAUCGCUGCUGCAGAUUCAUGACCAAGACGAUUUCAAUCUUUAGUUAAAACCGCAGCAACAAUUUGAUGUAGUAUAACUCUGCAGUACUUUUGAUACAAUGCAUGUUAUUUUCCCGUUCGAUUUUCCUUUGCAUGUCCACCCUACGUUAACCGGGUAGGCUUGCCGGUGCGUAAACCCAGGGUGGUGUCUUGAGGACGGAUCCCCAUUGGCCUGCCGGGUGUGCUUGCCGCCGAGUAAACCACCUUAUCGCCCUAACGUGGCCGCCCGACCUAUCGAGCUUGACUCGAGUCAGAAUUGAGUGUGUUGCCAAGUGCGGAAGGCUACCUUGCCACUCUCGACGCGGCCGCUUGAGCUGUUGAGCGGACUCGAAACAGAACAAGGGCGUUGCCAAUUGCUGGAGGGCCCCUUUGCGUGCAGGUUUUCCAUACAUAGGCAGGAUCUCCGAGGACAAUAACCUUAUGUAUAAAAGGAAAUUGCUCAAGGCUCUGGAUGACUUAGCUUUUCCAUCUGCGCUGGUAUCCUCCGCGCUUGCAGGCGGCGCCGUUUUCUCCUGUCUUCUUCUUCUUGGGAGCCAUGGCAAUGAGGAACUGUUAGGCUAACUAUUAGACCAGAUUCUCACAAUUGCGUCCCCUACCUGGCGCCAAAGAUGUCGGUGGGGAACGACACCUACGGGAUCACAAGAAUCCCUACUACGGUUGCUGGGGCACAGGGUUGUGAGAAGAGCAGGAAUAACAGUGAACACAAGGAUCGUUUACCCAGGUUCGGGCCGCGAGGAUGCGUAAUACCCUAGUCCUGCUUUGGUGGAUGUAUUGAAAGAGUUCUCGAGCUUUCGAACUAGCUAUGGUGGCUGCGUAGUCCAAAAAAGCCGAAUCUCUCUCCAGUAUGCCAUGGGCCUCCUUUUAUAGUCGAAAGAGGCUGCCACAGUGGCAUACAGGAGGUGGAAAGGUCUACAGUGCUAUGAGCUUAUCGCCCGUAUUACAUGACAAGACGCAUUAAAUGCGUAGCUUAGGUGUACCUUAGCUUUAUCGGGGGCGGGAACAAGGCCCGUCCCGUCCGUCGCCGCCUCGCCUUGUUUCGACACACGCCCAGGCCAGCGAUGCAUGUAGCGCCAUGUAGGCAGGCAGACAGCUAAGGUGGCGCGGUGGUACGGUCUUCAUGAAGAUCUGCAUGCCACCACGUAGGUGCUUGCUGAGUUGGCUCGGAAGCCGCCCGUCGCCACGCAGGUGCCUGCCCAGCUGGUUGAGCUAGCAGC